GGGCUUGACAUCCCACGAACCUGCCUGAAAGGGCGGGGUGCCCGCAAGGGAGCGUGGAGACAGGUGGUGCAUGGCUGUCGUCAGCUCGUGUCGUGAGAUGUUGGGUUAAGUCCCGCAACGAGCGCAACCCUCACCCCUAGUUGCCACCGGGUAAUGCCGAGCACUCGAGGGGAACUGCCAGCGUCAAGCUGGAGGAAGGCGGGGAUGACGUCAAGUCAUCAUGCCCCUUACGCCCUGGGCUACACACGUGCUACAAUGGCCGGUACAGAGGGCUGCAAACCCGCGAGGGGGAGCUAAUCCCACAAAGCCGGUCUAAGUUCGGAUUGCAGGCUGCAACUCGCCUGCAUGAAGGAGGAAUCGCUAGUAAUCGCGCAUCAGCACGGCGCGGUGAAUACGUUCCCGGGCCUUGUACACACCGCCCGUCACACCACGAAAGCCGGCUGUACUCGAAGUCGCUGAG
RNAcentral lists this ribosomal RNA (460 nucleotides) under uncultured Methylomirabilota bacterium. RNAcentral's name for it is "bacterial SSU rRNA". It matches the Rfam family "Bacterial small subunit ribosomal RNA", at positions 977 to 1434 of the family's 1533-position model. The record is from RNAcentral. Lineage: Bacteria; Methylomirabilota (SeqCode).